Molecule: long non-coding RNA, 261 nt
Organism: Corapipo altera (White-ruffed manakin)
Lineage: Eukaryota; Metazoa; Chordata; Aves; Passeriformes; Pipridae
Exons: 4
Source: RefSeq, a predicted model, not a curated record
CUGGACUGUGAGGCCAAACAGUGGCGGCUGGCGGCCGAUCUGCUCAAUGACGUCGCCCUGGUCCUGGAGAUCCUGGUGCCCCAUUGGCUGAGCGCUGGCCCCGCCCUCCUGGCGCUGGCGGCAUCGGCCAAGUGCGUGGUGGGCGUGGCCGGCGGGGCCACCCGGGCGGCUCUGGCCGUUCACCAGGCCCGGAGGGACAACGUGGCCGACGUGGCCGCCAAGGACGCCAGUCAGGAGACGCUGGUGAACGGGGCGGGGCUU